Molecule: ribosomal RNA, 428 nt
Filed under: Enterococcus faecalis
Lineage: Bacteria; Bacillati; Bacillota; Bacilli; Lactobacillales; Enterococcaceae
Description: bacterial SSU rRNA
Rfam family: Bacterial small subunit ribosomal RNA
Source: RNAcentral
GACGAACGCGGCGGCGUGCCUAAUACAUGCAAGUCGAACGCUUCUUUCCUCCCGAGUGCUUGCGCUCAAUUGGAAAGAGGAGUGGCGGACGGGUGAGUAACACGUGGGUAACCUACCCAUCAGAGGGGGAUAACACUUGGAAACAGGUGCUAAUACCGCAUAACAGUUUAUGCCGCAUGGCAUAAGAGUGAAAGGCGCUUUCGGGUGUCGCUGAUGGAUGGACCCGCGGUGCAUUAGCUAGUUGGUGAGGUAACGGCUCACCAAGGCCACGAUGCAUAGCCGACCUGAGAGGGUGAUCGGCCACACUGGGACUGAGACACGGCCCAGACUCCUACGGGAGGCAGCAGUAGGGAAUCUUCGGCAAUGGACGAAAGUCUGACCGAGCAACGCCGCGUGAGUGAAGAAGGUUUUCGGAUUCGUAAAACUUC